Molecule: ribosomal RNA, 429 nt
Filed under: Acidobacteriota bacterium
Lineage: Bacteria; Pseudomonadati; Acidobacteriota
Description: Acidobacteria bacterium partial 16S ribosomal RNA
Rfam family: Bacterial small subunit ribosomal RNA
Source: RNAcentral
UGGGGAAUUUUGGACAAUGGGGGAAACCCUGAUCCAGCCAUCCCGCGUGUGCGAUGAAGGCCUUCGGGUUGUAAAGCACUUUUGGCAGGAAAGAAACGUCAUGGGUUAAUACCCCGUGAAACUGACGGUACCUGCAGAAUAAGCACCGGCUAACUACGUGCCAGCAGCCGCGGUAAUACGUAGGGUGCAAGCGUUAAUCGGAAUUACUGGGCGUAAAGCGUGCGCAGGCGGUUCGGAAAGAAAGAUGUGAAAUCCCAGAGCUCAACUUUGGAACUGCAUUUUUAACUACAGGGCUAGAGUGUGUCAGAGGGAGGUGGAAUUCCGCAUGUAGCAGUGAAAUGCGUAGAUAUGCGGAGGAACACCGAUGGCGAAGGCAGCCUCCUGGGAUAACACUGACGCUCAUGCACGAAAGCGUGGGGAGCAAACAGG